UACAGAGGUCCCAAGCGUUGUUCGGAUUCACUGGGCGUAAAGGGUGCGUAGGUGGUGAGGUAAGUCGGAUGUGAAAGCUCGGAGCUCAACUCCGAAAUGGCAUUGGAAACUACCUUGCUCGAGGGUUGGAGGGGGGACUGGAAUGCUUGGUGUAGCAGUGAAAUGCGUAGAUAUCAGGAGGAACACCGGUGGCGAAGGCGGGUCUCUGGGCCGAUACUGACGCUGAGGAGCGAAAGCGUGGGGAGCGAACAGG
RNAcentral lists this ribosomal RNA (253 nucleotides) under uncultured bacterium. RNAcentral's name for it is "partial 16S ribosomal RNA". It matches the Rfam family "Bacterial small subunit ribosomal RNA", at positions 524 to 776 of the family's 1533-position model. The record is from RNAcentral.